Molecule: ribosomal RNA, 254 nt
Filed under: uncultured bacterium
Lineage: Bacteria
Description: partial 16S ribosomal RNA
Rfam family: Bacterial small subunit ribosomal RNA
Source: RNAcentral
UACGUAGGGGGCAAGCGUUGUCCGGAUUUAUUGGGCGUAAAGAGCUCGUAGGCGGUUUGGUAAGUCGGGUGUGAAAUCUCCGUGCUCAACACGGAGGGGCCACCCGAUACUGCCAUGACUUGAGUCCGGUAGAGGAGAGUGGAAUUCCCGGUGUAGCGGUGAAAUGCGCAGAUAUCGGGAGGAACACCAGUAGCGAAGGCGGCUCUCUGGGCCGGUACUGACGCUGAGGAGCGAAAGCGUGGGGAGCGAACAGG